RNAcentral lists this ribosomal RNA (78 nucleotides) under Dorea sp. 42_8. RNAcentral's name for it is "partial 23S ribosomal RNA". Lineage: Bacteria; Bacillati; Bacillota; Clostridia; Lachnospirales; Lachnospiraceae. The record is from RNAcentral.
CGAGGUAGAUAGGUCAGAGGUGGAAGUACAGUAAUGUAUGGAGCUGACUGAUACUAAUCGGUCGAGGGCAUGACCAAG